AAUAACAGCCUUGAUCAGUCUGUCAUCGAUCUUGCAUAGGAUGAGAGACAUUUUCUGCAAAUUUUUCAGGGGGAAGGUAGAUUCUGUCCAUUGGGCAAUUGAAACUUUUUCAAGCCAAAGGCUUUUCAAAUUGGCUAAAUCAGAAAAAGCUGAAAAAUUUUUAAGUACUGCAUUUCGUGUGCUGUAAUUUAUCACUAUCAGUGCUCUAAGCCUUGGCAUGUCAUAUAUGAAGGGAGGCAAGAAGUACUCAUUAGC
This 255-nucleotide unclassified non-coding RNA is filed under the name Hevea brasiliensis (rubber tree). The record is from RNAcentral. Lineage: Eukaryota; Viridiplantae; Streptophyta; Magnoliopsida; Malpighiales; Euphorbiaceae.